GGAAGCGAACGGGGCCCGGUGGCCCUCCCGGUCUUCAAAAUCGGUUGCUCCCCGUUUAUUCGGGGAGGCUCGGUUCGACUCCGAGGCGCUUCC
Molecule: non-coding RNA, 93 nt
Organism: Acidobacteria bacterium 13_2_20CM_2_66_4
Lineage: Bacteria; Pseudomonadati; Acidobacteriota
Source: Rfam